Molecule: long non-coding RNA, 301 nt
Organism: Pelmatolapia mariae (spotted tilapia)
Lineage: Eukaryota; Metazoa; Chordata; Actinopteri; Cichliformes; Cichlidae
Exons: 3
Source: RefSeq, a predicted model, not a curated record
UUCAACUUGACGGACCCUGACAGCUUCAACUUGACGGACCUCGACUACAGUUAUGACAGUUAUGACUAUACCGAAUUCAGCACUGACCGUGUCCACACUUCUUUUAAAGAGGCUGAGUCCAAUUUCAGGAACAAGGCCUCAGGGAUUGGUCAGCUGAAGCUCGUGUUCCUGCUGGGAUUGGCUAUCCUUCAGAUUUGGAAUUGACUAGUGAUGUGCGAUACCACUGAUUUCCUUUCCGAUCCCAUACCAAGUAAAAUUCAGGGUGGUAUCGACGAUACUGAUCCGAUACCCAUACUCUGUA